UUCCGGUUGAUCCCGCCGGACCUGACUGCUAUCGGAUUGAUACUAAGCCAUGCGAGUCAUUGUAGCAAUACAAGGCAUACGGCUCAGUAACGCGUAGUCAACCUACCCUAUGGACGGAAAUAACCUCGGGAAACUGAGAAUAAUAUCCGAUAGAACAUUAUGCCUGGAAUGGUUUAUGUUCCAAAUGAUUUAUCGCCGUAGGAUGGGACUGCGGCCUAUCAGUUUGUUGGUGAGGUAAUGGCCCACCAAGACUAUUACAGGUACGGGCUCUGAGAGGAGUAGCCCGGAGAUGGGUACUGAGACACGGACCCAGGCCCUAUGGGGCGCAGCAGGCGAGAAAACUUUGCAAUGUGCGAAAGCACGACAAGGUUAAUCCGAGUGAUUUCUGCUAAAGAAAUCUUUUGUUAGUCCUAGAAACACUAACGAAUAAGGGGUGGGCAAGUUCUGGUGUCAGCCGCCGCGGUAAAACCAGCACCUCAAGUGGUCAGGAUGAUUAUUGGGCCUAAAGCAUCCGUAGCCGGCUCUGUAAGUCCUCGGUUAAAUCUGUACGCUUAACGUACAGGCUGCCGGGAAUACUGCAUAGCUAGGGAGUGGGAGAGGUAGACGGUACUCGGUAGGAAGGGGUAAAAUCCUUUGAUCUAUUGAUGACCACCUGUGGCGAAGGCGGUCUACCAGAACACGUCCGACGGUGAGGGAUGAAAGCUGGGGGAGCAAAACCGGAUUAGAUACCCGGGUAGUCCCAGCUGUAAACUAUGCAAACUCAGUGAUGCAUUGGCUUGUGGCCAAUGCAGUGCUGCAGGGAAGCCGUUAAGUUUGCCGCCUGGGAAGUACGUACGCAAGUAUGAAACUUAAAGGAAUUGGCSGGGGAGCACCACAAGGGGUGAAGCCUGCGGUUCAAUUGGAGUCAACGCCGG
This 914-nucleotide ribosomal RNA is filed under the name uncultured Nitrososphaerota archaeon. RNAcentral describes it as "bacterial SSU rRNA". It matches the Rfam family "Archaeal small subunit ribosomal RNA", at positions 1 to 921 of the family's 1478-position model. The record is from RNAcentral. Lineage: Archaea; Thermoproteati; Nitrososphaerota.